Molecule: ribosomal RNA, 425 nt
Filed under: uncultured bacterium
Lineage: Bacteria
Description: partial 16S ribosomal RNA
Rfam family: Bacterial small subunit ribosomal RNA
Source: RNAcentral
GUGGGGAAUCUUGCGCAAUGGGCGAAAGCCUGACGCAGCCAUGCCGCGUGAAUGAUGAAGGUCUUAGGAUUGUAAAAUUCUUUCACCGGGGACGAUAAUGACGGUACCCGGAGAAGAAGCUCCGGCUAACUUCGUGCCAGCAGCCGCGGUAAUACGAAGGGGGCUAGCGUUGCUCGGAAUUACUGGGCGUAAAGGGCGCGUAGGCGGACAGCUUAGUCAGAGGUGAAAGCCCAGGGCUCAACCUUGGAAUUGCCUUGGAUACUGGCUGUCUUGAGUUUGGGAGGGGUGGGUGGAAAUCCGAGUGUAGAGGUGAAAUUCGUAGAGAUUCGGAAGAACACCAGUGGCGAAGGCGACUCACUGGCCCAAUACUGACGCUGAGGCGCGAAAGCGUGGGGAGCAAACAGGAUUAGAAACCCUUGUAGUCC